CAUUUUUUUUUAUUGUGAAUGUUCUUUUUUACUCAUAUGUGUGUAAUCCUAUUUAAAACUGGCAGGUCUUUGGAGGCAUUU
RNAcentral lists this non-coding RNA (81 nucleotides) under Pteridomonas danica. The record is from RNAcentral. Lineage: Eukaryota; Dictyochophyceae; Pedinellales.